CCUACGGGUGGCAGCAGUGAGGAAUAUUGGUCAAUGGGCGUAAGCCUGAACCAGCCAAGUCGCGUGAGGGAUGAAGGUUCUAUGGAUCGUAAACCUCUUUUAUAAGGGCAUAAAGUGUGGGACGUGUCCUAUUUUGUAUGUACCUUAUGAAUAAGGAUCGGCUAACUCCGUGCCAGCAGCCGCGGUAAUACGGAGGAUCCGAGCGUUAUCCGGAUUUAUUGGGUUUAAAGGGUGCGUAGGCGGGCUGUUAAGUCAGUGGUGAAAGUCUGUGGCUCAACCCUAGAAUUGCCGUUGAUACUGGGGGGCUUGAGUAUAGUUGAGGCAGGCGGAAGGCGUGGUGUAGCGGUGAAAUGCUUAGAUAUCACGCAGAACCCCGAUUGCGAAGGCAGCCUGCCAAGCCAUGACUGACGCUGAUGCACGAAAGCGUGGGGAUCAAACAGGAUUAGAUACCCCAGUAGUC
Molecule: ribosomal RNA, 460 nt
Filed under: uncultured bacterium
Lineage: Bacteria
Description: partial 16S ribosomal RNA
Rfam family: Bacterial small subunit ribosomal RNA
Source: RNAcentral